GAUGAACGCUGGCGGCGUGCCUAACACAUGCGAGUCGAACGGAGAUUCCGGACGGAAGUUUUCGGAUGGAAGCCUGUAAUUCUUAGUGGCGGACGGGUGAGUAACGCGUGGGCAACCUGCCCUAUACAGGGGGAUAGCAGCUGGAAACGGCUGGUAAGACCGCAUAAGUCGGUUAAAUCGCAUGAUUUGAUCGGGAAAUGAGCAAUCAGGUAUAGGAUGGGCCCGCGUCCGAUUAGCCAGUUGGCAGGGUAAAAGCCUACCAAAGCGACGAUCGGUAGCCGGACUGAGAGGUCGGACGGCCACAUUGGGACUGAGACACGGCCCAAACUCCUACGGGAGGCAGCAGUGGGGGAUAUUGCACAAUGGAGGAAACUCUGAUGCAGCGACGCCGCGUGAGUGAAGAAGUAUUUCGGUAUGUAAAGCUCUAUCAGCAGGGAAGAUGAUGACGGUACCUGACUAAGAAGCCCCGGCUAACUACGUG
RNAcentral lists this ribosomal RNA (481 nucleotides) under uncultured bacterium. RNAcentral's name for it is "partial 16S ribosomal RNA". It matches the Rfam family "Bacterial small subunit ribosomal RNA", at positions 28 to 507 of the family's 1533-position model. The record is from RNAcentral.